UUUUAAAAAUAUUGCGAUUUUUACGUUUUUUUAGGGCAUAUAAGCGCAGCCAAACAUGGGGCUGUAUUUAUCAGUAUUUAUAUAUACAGAAGAUGUAAACAAGUACUUUUCAUUAGCUGACAAGCUUGAAUUUUACGUUGUCAUAUUAUUAAUUAAAACAAUAUUUGAAUAAUAUUUUUACUUAAUUAAAAUUACCUAUUAUUUGCUACUUAAUAAUUAGUAAUUGGUUUUGUUCAUUCAACUUGCUGCAAAUAACCAUCAUCCAUUGUUGUUAAUAUUAUGUUAUUAUCAGUAUUUUUUUAUUUUUUCAAUUGUCAUGGCGAAUCAAGAUCAAAAAUUGGUUGCUCAAGUGACAGAUGGUCCAACAAUCAAAUCUAAAACUAUACUGCUCUAAUAUAUUUUAGAUGACAAUGAAAAUUACAUGAUGAUGGUACUCAAUCUUGGUUUUACAAACAUCUUAAGUCAGAGCUUAGAAAUGUACCGAAUGAUACUCGUGAUACUUUAUAAUGCUUUGAAUUAUAUUGCACUUGUUUAUUUAGUACAAUGAUAAUAAAGAAAAUUUUUACUAUUAUUAUAUAA
Molecule: long non-coding RNA, 579 nt
Organism: Aphidius gifuensis
Lineage: Eukaryota; Metazoa; Arthropoda; Insecta; Hymenoptera; Braconidae
Exons: 3
Source: RefSeq, a predicted model, not a curated record